RNAcentral lists this ribosomal RNA (338 nucleotides) under Segatella copri. Its description in RNAcentral is "bacterial SSU rRNA". It matches the Rfam family "Bacterial small subunit ribosomal RNA", at positions 1 to 328 of the family's 1533-position model. The record is from RNAcentral. Lineage: Bacteria; Pseudomonadati; Bacteroidota; Bacteroidia; Bacteroidales; Prevotellaceae.
ACAAUGGAGAGUUUGAUCCUGGCUCAGGAUGAACGCUAGCUACAGGCUUAACACAUGCAAGUCGAGGGGAAACGAUAGAGAAAGCUUGCUUUUUCUAGGCGUCGACCGGCGCACGGGUGAGUAACGCGUAUCCAACCUGCCCACCACUUGGGGAUAACCUUGCGAAAGUAAGACUAAUACCCAAUGACGUCCAUAGAAGACAUCUGAAAUGGAUUAAAGAUUUAUCGGUGAUGGAUGGGGAUGCGUCUGAUUAGCUUGUUGGCGGGGUAACGGCCCACCAAGGCGACGAUCAGUAGGGGUUCUGAGAGGAAGGUCCCCCACAUUGGAACUGAGACACG